This 512-nucleotide ribosomal RNA is filed under the name Maudiozyma exigua. RNAcentral's name for it is "LSU rRNA". It matches the Rfam family "Eukaryotic large subunit ribosomal RNA", at positions 52 to 566 of the family's 3401-position model. The record is from RNAcentral. Lineage: Eukaryota; Fungi; Ascomycota; Saccharomycetes; Saccharomycetales; Saccharomycetaceae.
GGAGGAAAAGAAACCAACCGGGAUUGCCUUAGUAACGGCGAGUGAAGCGGCAAAAGCUCAAAUUUGAAAUCUGGUACCUUCGGUGCCCGAGUUGUAAUUUGUAGAGGGCGACUUUGGGGCGGCUCCUUGUCUAUGUUCCUUGGAACAGGACGUCAUAGAGGGUGAGAAUCCCGUGUGGCGAGGAGUGCGGUUCCGUGUAAAGCGCUCUCGAAGAGUCGAGUUGUUUGGGAAUGCAGCUCUAAGUGGGUGGUAAAUUCCAUCUAAAGCUAAAUAUUGGCGAGAGACCGAUAGCGAACAAGUACAGUGAUGGAAAGAUGAAAAGAACUUUGAAAAGAGAGUGAAAAAGUACGUGAAAUUGUUGAAAGGGAAGGGCAUUUGAUCAGACAUGGUGUUUUGUGCCCCUCGCUCCUUGUGGGUGGGGGAAUCUCGCAGCUCACUGGGCCAGCAUCAGUUUUGGCGGUCGGAUAAAACCAGGGGAACGUAGCUUGCUUCGGGAAGUAUUAUAGCCUCUG